UACGAAGGGGCUAGCGUUGCUCGGAAUCACUGGGCGUAAAGCGCACGUAGGCGGCUUCUAAGUCAGGGUGAAAUCCUGGAGCUCAACUCCAGAACUGCCUUUGAUACUGGAGAGCUUGAGUCCGGGAGAGGUGGAGUGGAACCCGAGUGUAGAGGUGAAAUUCGUAGAUAUUCGCAAGAACACCAGUGGCGAAGGCGGCUCACU
This 204-nucleotide ribosomal RNA is filed under the name uncultured bacterium. Its description in RNAcentral is "partial 16S ribosomal RNA". It matches the Rfam family "Bacterial small subunit ribosomal RNA", at positions 524 to 730 of the family's 1533-position model. The record is from RNAcentral.